Molecule: ribosomal RNA, 266 nt
Filed under: uncultured bacterium
Lineage: Bacteria
Description: partial 16S ribosomal RNA
Rfam family: Bacterial small subunit ribosomal RNA
Source: RNAcentral
GUCCACGCCGUAAACGAUGGGCACUAGGCGUCGGGGGGAGCGACCCUCCCGGUGCCGUCGCUAACGCAGUAAGUGCCCCGCCUGGGGAGUACGGCCGCAAGGCUGAAACUCAAAGGAAUUGACGGGGGCCCCGCACAAGCGGUGGAGCAUGUGGUUUAAUUCGAAGCAACGCGAAGAACCUUACCUGGGCUUGACAUGCUGGUGAAAGCCGGUGGAAACAUCGGUCCCUCUUCGGAGCACCAGCACAGGUGCUGCAUGGCUGUCGU